UACGAAGGGUGCAAGCGUUACUCGGAAUUACUGGGCGUAAAGCGUGCGUAGGUGGUUUCUUAAGUCCGUUGUGAAAGCCCUGGGCUCAACCUGGGAAUGGCAGUGGAUACUGGGAAGCUAGAGUGCGGUAGAGGAUGGUGGAAUUCCCGGUGUAGCGGUGAAAUGCGCAGAUAUCGGGAGGAACACCAAUGGCGAAGGCAGCUCGCUGGGACGGUACUGACGCUGAGACGCGAAAGCGUGGGGAGCGAACAGG
RNAcentral lists this ribosomal RNA (253 nucleotides) under uncultured bacterium. Its description in RNAcentral is "partial 16S ribosomal RNA". It matches the Rfam family "Bacterial small subunit ribosomal RNA", at positions 524 to 776 of the family's 1533-position model. The record is from RNAcentral.